Molecule: ribosomal RNA, 766 nt
Filed under: Vreelandella aquamarina
Lineage: Bacteria; Pseudomonadati; Pseudomonadota; Gammaproteobacteria; Oceanospirillales; Halomonadaceae
Description: bacterial SSU rRNA
Rfam family: Bacterial small subunit ribosomal RNA
Source: RNAcentral
AGACCAAUGCGGGCGGCUACCAUGCAAGUCGAGCGGUAACAGAUCCAGCUUGCUGGAUGCUGACGAGCGGCGGACGGGUGAGUAAUGCAUAGGAAUCUGCCCGAUAGUGGGGGAUAACCUGGGGAAACCCAGGCUAAUACCGCAUACGUCCUACGGGAGAAAGGGGGCUUCGGCUCCCGCUAUCGGAUGAGCCUAUGUCGGAUUAGCUAGUUGGUGAGGUAACGGCUCACCAAGGCCACGAUCCGUAGCUGGUCUGAGAGGAUGAUCAGCCACAUCGGGACUGAGACACGGCCCGAACUCCUACGGGAGGCAGCAGUGGGGAAUAUUGGACAAUGGGGGGAACCCUGAUCCAGCCAUGCCGCGUGUGUGAAGAAGGCCCUCGGGUUGUAAAGCACUUUCAGCGAGGAAGAACGCCUAGCGGUUAAUACCCGCUAGGAAAGACAUCACUCGCAGAAGAAGCACCGGCUAACUCCGUGCCAGCAGCCGCGGUAAUACGGAGGGUGCAAGCGUUAAUCGGAAUUACUGGGCGUAAAGCGCGCGUAGGUGGCUUGAUAAGCCGGUUGUGAAAGCCCCGGGCUCAACCUGGGAACGGCAUCCGGAACUGUCAAGCUAGAGUGCAGGAGAGGAAGGUAGAAUUCCCGGUGUAGCGGUGAAAUGCGUAGAGAUCGGGAGGAAUACCAGUGGCGAAGGCGGCCUUCUGGACUGACACUGACACUGAGGUGCGAAAGCGUGGGGUAGCAAACAGGAUUAGAUACCUGGGUAGUCA